UACGUAGGGUGCAAGCGUUGUCCGGAAUUAUUGGGCGUAAAGAGCUCGUAGGCGGUCUGUCGCGUCUGCUGUGAAAACUCGGGGCUUAACCCCGGGCCUGCAGUGGGUACGGGCAGACUAGAGUGCGGUAGAGGAGAAUGGAAUUCCCGGUGUAGCGGUGAAAUGCGCAGAUAUCGGGAAGAACACCCGUGGCGAAGGCGGUUCUCUGGGACGGUACUGACGCUGAGACGCGAAAGCGUGGGGAGCGAACAGG
RNAcentral lists this ribosomal RNA (253 nucleotides) under uncultured bacterium. Its description in RNAcentral is "partial 16S ribosomal RNA". It matches the Rfam family "Bacterial small subunit ribosomal RNA", at positions 524 to 776 of the family's 1533-position model. The record is from RNAcentral.